AGUGGGAUAGCUUGGUCAAAUGGUGGUUCCAUUCCUAGUUUCCCAAGCAAUCUCCAUACUGCUUUCCAGAUUGGUUGCACCAAUUUGCAGUCCCACCAGCAAU
RNAcentral lists this microRNA precursor (103 nucleotides) under Marmota monax (woodchuck). Lineage: Eukaryota; Metazoa; Chordata; Mammalia; Rodentia; Sciuridae. The record is from RNAcentral.